Molecule: ribosomal RNA, 505 nt
Filed under: uncultured bacterium
Lineage: Bacteria
Description: bacterial SSU rRNA
Rfam family: Bacterial small subunit ribosomal RNA
Source: RNAcentral
AUGGCUCAGGAUGAACGCUAGCGGCAGGCUAACACAUGCAAGUCGAGGGCAGCGCGAGUAGCAAUACUUGGCGGCGACCGGCGCAAGGUGCGUAACGCGUGAGCAACAUGCCCGUAUCAGGGGGAUAAUCCAGGGAAACUUGGUCUAAAUACCCCAUAGUAAUUUUUGUAAGGCAUCUUAUAAGAUUUAAAGCUUUGGUGGAUACGGAUUGGCUCGCGUGACAUUAGCUGGAUGGUAAGGUAACGGCUUACCAUGGCUAUGAUGUCUAGGGGUUCUGAGAGGAAGGUCCCCCACACUGGAACUGAGACACGGUCCAGACUCCUACGGGAGGCAGCAGUGAGGAAUAUUGGACAAUGGAUGGAAAUCUGAUCCAGCCAUGCCGCGUGAAGGAAAAGAAGGUCCUAUGGAUUGUAAACUUCUUUUGUAUGGGAGCAAUAAGGCCUACGAGUAGGUUGAUGAGAGUACCAUACGAAUAAGCACCGGCUAACUCCGUGCCAGCAGCGGC